Molecule: long non-coding RNA, 207 nt
Filed under: Elaeis guineensis (African oil palm)
Lineage: Eukaryota; Viridiplantae; Streptophyta; Magnoliopsida; Arecales; Arecaceae
Description: long non-coding RNA (EGUI_LNC015706)
Source: RNAcentral
ACAUCUUGCUGUUAAAGUAUGAUUUUCUGCAUUCAGGAAGUCAUAAUUUGACUACAUAAUCUCAUAAAGGAGAGACAUUUUUAUCAUUUAAAAAUUUCAUAAUUUUUAAAUGAUGAAAAUAUCUUUCUCGCUUUAUGAUUUCUGAAAGAAAAAUUAUGACAUCCUAUGUGGAGUCAUAAUUUAAUUGCAGAUGUUAUAAUUUUUUCA